UUUACAGGGGAUUCUCAUUGACUUGUUUCGUUUAGGAAUCAGAUCAUCAAUGAGUCAUAUCCUUUCCUGAUUCGGAUCUAUCUGAUCCACCUAUUUAAUUUGUUUUUUUUCUGCCGUUGAUCUAUAUGAUUUUUAUCUGUUUGCCUGGAGGGAUCAAACGAUGGACAAUAAUCGUGACUUCAACACUUCCAGAUUCAGCUAAAUCUGAGUUUUUGGGCUAACUAUCAAUUUUUGCAUUGUUCUUUUCAUCUUUUGUAUUCGGCAACCCAAACGGAAGGACACGAUAUGGCAGUGGACUCUUUUGGCUUUUGAUACAUUGUUUGUUUGUUGUUUCCUUUAACUGAAGCCAACGCGGUAA
This 358-nucleotide long non-coding RNA is filed under the name Linum usitatissimum (flax). RNAcentral describes it as "long non-coding RNA (LUSI_LNC001251)". The record is from RNAcentral. Lineage: Eukaryota; Viridiplantae; Streptophyta; Magnoliopsida; Malpighiales; Linaceae.